AUCUUUGACCCAGCAAUACUAUGAUUAGUCUUGUGUCCCAUAGAGAUUAAAGAUAGGGGGACAAGACCUAACAAAAUUAUUUAUAGCAGCUUUUUUGUGGUAGCAAAGAACUGGAAACUGAAGGAAUGUCCAUCAAUUGGGUAAUGGUUGAACAAGUAGUAUAUGAUUGUAAUGGAAUACUAUUGUGUCAUAAGAAAUGACAAACAAGAUGAUUGCAAAAAAAAAAAACCCUAGAAAGAAUUAUAUGAAGUUAUGCAAGGUGCAGAACCAGGAGAAUGCUGUAUAUAAUAACAACAAUAAUGUAUGAUGAUUAACUACAAAUGGCUUAACUAUUAUUGGGUAGGGCAAGGAUUCAGGACAACUCUAAAGUACUCACAACAACAACAACAAAAACAAAGUCUAUCUACCACCAGAGAAGGAACAGAUGGAGUCUGAAUGAAGAUUGAAACAUACCAUUCAUCAUUUUAUUUCUUCCAUGACUUUUUCUCUAGUGACCUGGCACCUGAGCUGAGUCUUGGAGAGAACGAGGGGCUCCCUGUGGCAAAGGAAAAAAAAGAAGGAACAUUACAGAAAUGACAAAGUCAGAGCAUUGGGAGACGGAGUAUCACAUAGAGGAACAGCAGUUUCCUCACCUGAAUAUGAGUUGGAGAAGGACAUGGAAAACCAUUCCAGUAUCUCUGCCAAGAAACUCCAAAUGGAUCAUGGAGAGUAAAACUUGACUGAAAUAAACAAAUGAACAAAUAACUAAACA
RNAcentral lists this long non-coding RNA (751 nucleotides) under Monodelphis domestica (gray short-tailed opossum). Its description in RNAcentral is "lncRNA (ENSMODG00000044634.1)". The record is from RNAcentral. Lineage: Eukaryota; Metazoa; Chordata; Mammalia; Didelphimorphia; Didelphidae.